UUCCGGUUGAUCCUGCCGGACCUGACUGCUAUCGGAUUGAUACUAAGCCAUGCUAGUCUUUGUAGUAAUACAAGGCAUACGGCUCAGUAACGCGUAGUCAACCUACCCUAUGGACGGGGAUAAUCUCGGGAAACUGAGCAUAAUACCCGGCAGACCACUUAUCCUGGAAUGGUUAGUGGUUAAAAUGAUUCGUCGCCAUAGGAUGGGACUGCGGCCUAUCAGCUUGUUGGUGAGGUAAUGGCCCACCAAGGCGAUUACAGGUACGGGCUCUGAGAGGAGAGGCCCGGAGAUGGGUACUGAGACAAGGACCCAGGCCCUAUGGGGCGCAGCAGGCGAGAAAACUUUGCAAUGUGCGAAAGCACGACAAGGUUAAUCCGAGUGAUUUCUGCUAAAGGAAUCUUUUGUUAGUUCUAAAAAUACUAGUGAAUAAGGGGUGGGCAAGUUCUGGUGUCAGCCGCCGCGGUAAAACCAGCACCUCAAGUGGUCAGGAGGAUUAUUGGGCCUAAAGCAUCCGUAGCCUGUUCUAUAAGUUUGCGGUUAAAUCUAUACGCUCAACGUAUAGGCUGCCGUAAAUACUGUAGAACUAGGGAGUGGGAGAGGUAGACGGUACUCGAUAGGAAGGGGUAAAAUCCUUUGAUCUAUUGAUGACCACCUGUGGCGAAGGCGGUCUACCAGAACACGUUCGACGGUGAGGGAUGAAAGCUGGGGGAGCAAACCGGAUUAGAUACCCGGGUAGUCCCAGCUGUAAACGAUGCAGACUCGAUGAUGCAAUGGCAUAGAGCUAUUGCAGUAUCGCAGGGAAGCCGUUAAGUCUGCCGCCUGGGAAGUACGUACGCAAGUAUGAAACUUAAAGGAAUUGGCGGGGGAGCACCACAAGGGGUGAAGCCUGCGGUUCAAUUGGAGUCAACGCCGGG
Molecule: ribosomal RNA, 914 nt
Filed under: uncultured marine archaeon
Lineage: Archaea
Description: bacterial SSU rRNA
Rfam family: Archaeal small subunit ribosomal RNA
Source: RNAcentral